Molecule: ribosomal RNA, 492 nt
Filed under: uncultured Glomus
Lineage: Eukaryota; Fungi; Glomeromycota; Glomeromycetes; Glomerales; Glomeraceae
Description: SSU rRNA
Rfam family: Eukaryotic small subunit ribosomal RNA
Source: RNAcentral
AUAUUAAAGUUGUUGCAGUUAAAAAGCUCGUAGUUGAAUUUUAGGCCUGACCGGGCGGUCCGUCUCUGGCGAGUACUGUUCUGUUGUCGGGUCUAUCCUUCUGGUGAGCCGGUAUGUCCUUUAUUGGGUGUGUCGGGGAACCAGGACCAUUACCUUGAAAAAAUUAGAGUGUUUAAAGCGGGCUUUUGCUUGAAUAGAUUAGCAUGGAAUAAUAGAAUAGGACGUUGGUUCUAUUUUGUUGGUCUAGGACCACCGUAAUGAUUAAUAGGGAUAGUUGGGGGCAUUAGUAUUCAAUUGUCAGAGGUGAAAUUCUUGGAUUUAUUGAAGACUAACUACUGCGAAAGCAUUUGCCAAGGAUGUUUUCAUUAAUCAAGAACGAAAGUUAGGGGAUCGAAGACGAUCAGAUACCGUCGUAGUCUUAACCAUAAACUAUGCCGACUGGGAAUCGGGCGACGUUAUUUUCAUGACUCGCUCGGCGCCUUAUAGGAAACC